This 45-nucleotide non-coding RNA is filed under the name Schistosoma mattheei. Lineage: Eukaryota; Metazoa; Platyhelminthes; Trematoda; Strigeidida; Schistosomatidae. The record is from RNAcentral.
AUCCAGCCGACAAGUCCCAAAUAGGACGAAAUGCGUGUCCUGGAU